RNAcentral lists this transfer RNA (75 nucleotides) under Chloroflexota bacterium. RNAcentral's name for it is "Chloroflexi bacterium (groundwater metagenome) tRNA-Lys". Lineage: Bacteria; Bacillati; Chloroflexota. The record is from RNAcentral.
AGUUGCCAAAAUUGGGGUAAAUUCAGCACCUGACUUUUAAUCAGGGUGUCACAGGUUCGAGACCUGUACGGCCUA